RNAcentral lists this ribosomal RNA (255 nucleotides) under Escherichia coli. Its description in RNAcentral is "partial 23S ribosomal RNA". It matches the Rfam family "Bacterial large subunit ribosomal RNA", at positions 2693 to 2925 of the family's 2925-position model. The record is from RNAcentral. Lineage: Bacteria; Pseudomonadati; Pseudomonadota; Gammaproteobacteria; Enterobacterales; Enterobacteriaceae.
CGGAGUGGACGCAUCACUGGUGUUCGGGUUGUCAUGCCAAUGGCACUGCCCGGUAGCUAAAUGCGGAAGAGAUAAGUGCUGAAAGCAUCUAAGCACGAAACUUGCCCCGAGAUGAGUUCUCCCUGACCCUUUAAGGGUCCUGAAGGAACGUUGAAGACGACGACGUUGAUAGGCCGGGUGUGUAAGCGCAGCGAUGCGUUGAGCUAACCGGUACUAAUGAACCGUGAGGCUUAACCUUACAACGCCGAAGRUGUU